RNAcentral lists this transfer RNA (73 nucleotides) under Promethearchaeota archaeon. Its description in RNAcentral is "Candidatus Lokiarchaeota archaeon (marine sediment metagenome) tRNA-Arg". It matches the Rfam family "tRNA". Rfam says of the family: Transfer RNA (tRNA) molecules are approximately 80 nucleotides in length. Their secondary structure includes four short double-helical elements and three loops (D, anti-codon, and T loops). The record is from RNAcentral. Lineage: Archaea; Promethearchaeati; Promethearchaeota.
AGCCCAGUGGUCUAGUGGAUAGGACGCUGGCUUGCGGAGCCAGUGAUCAGGGGUUCAAAUCCCCUCUGGGCUA